This 26-nucleotide non-coding RNA is filed under the name Rattus norvegicus (Norway rat). Lineage: Eukaryota; Metazoa; Chordata; Mammalia; Rodentia; Muridae. The record is from RNAcentral.
UGAGUUGUCUUUGAGGCCCAGGGAGC